This 884-nucleotide long non-coding RNA is filed under the name Chinchilla lanigera (long-tailed chinchilla). RNAcentral describes it as "lncRNA (ENSCLAG00000027436.1)". The record is from RNAcentral. Lineage: Eukaryota; Metazoa; Chordata; Mammalia; Rodentia; Chinchillidae.
AAAGCUGCAGGCACAGGGGCGCCGCUCUACGGCUUUGGAGACCACUGCACCGGUCCUCCGGGCUGGGCCGGCGCGCGCUGCGCGCUCCUCGCCUUCACCCGGGUCUCCGGGUCUCCCCGGCUCCGACGGGCUCCGGCCUCGGCCCCCCGCUCCGGCUUGCCUUUCCUGCCGGGUCUCCUGGCACAGGCUCGGCUCCUGCGGCGGCGGCCACGCGCUCUCCGCUCCGCGCCGGGGUCCUGGGCACUCUCCCUGGGCCCCGCCGCUCGCAGGCUGGGACUGGGGAUUGAGGGUGGGCAGCGGCCAGGGGAGCGGGGCAGGUGGGGAGCCGCGGGCGCGCGGGAGGGAGGGGGCGACAGAGGGAGCCCAAGGAAAAAAGAUGCAUCUGCUCUGAAAGCGCCAAUGAAGGAAGGACGGAGGGGGCAGGAGCGGAGAGCGGAGAGAACGCCCACCAGGAGGGGUGGCGAGACGGGCAGUUUACAAACUGCCAGGGCUGGAGGAGCCCCGCGAGGAAGGAAGGAGGUUGGGAGGAGAGAAGGAAACCCAAGAGGAAGAUCUCAUUUCCCCCCGAAAAGAUCAGGAGCCACCUGCUUCGAUAUGCGGUAUUCCCGAGGAGAUUUAGAGGGAAAAGAAAAAACUGAAAAGAAAAAAAAAAAAAAAAACCCUAAACACACACUUGAAACUGGAAGACGCCUAAGACGCGUGGAAACGGAGAGGGCGAGAAGAUCUCCCGGGGCUACAGAUCUGUCAGCUAACCACCUUCAACUGUCUGUGUUAACUACCUGCCUCUGGUGACUUUGGCUUGAGUACAACUGAUGACUACCAACAGGAGGUCAAAGAAACAAAAAAGGGGGAGAAAUUCUCUUCAUGGUCAAGGUAAAAUAGCA